This 759-nucleotide ribosomal RNA is filed under the name uncultured Enterobacteriaceae bacterium. Its description in RNAcentral is "bacterial SSU rRNA". It matches the Rfam family "Bacterial small subunit ribosomal RNA", at positions 28 to 776 of the family's 1533-position model. Lineage: Bacteria; Pseudomonadati; Pseudomonadota; Gammaproteobacteria; Enterobacterales; Enterobacteriaceae. The record is from RNAcentral.
AUUGAACGCUGGCGGCAGGCCUAACACAUGCAAGUCGAGCGGCAGCGGAAAGUAGCUUGCUACUUUGCCGGCGAGCGGCGGACGGGUGAGUAAUGUCUGGGAAACUGCCUGAUGGAGGGGGAUAACUACUGGAAACGGUAGCUAAUACCGCAUGACCUCGAAAGAGCAAAGUGGGGGAUCUUCGGACCUCACGCCAUCGGAUGUGCCCAGAUGGGAUUAGCUAGUAGGUGAGGUAAUGGCUCACCUAGGCGACGAUCCCUAGCUGGUCUGAGAGGAUGACCAGCCACACUGGAACUGAGACACGGUCCAGACUCCUACGGGAGGCAGCAGCGGGGAAUAUUGCACAAUGGGCGCAAGCCUGAUGCAGCCAUGCCGCGUGUGUGAAGAAGGCCUUAGGGUUGUAAAGCACUUUCAGCGAGGAGGAAGGCACCAUACUUAAUACGUGUGGUGAUUGACGUUACUCGCAGAAGAAGCACCGGCUAACUCCGUGCCAGCAGCCGCGGUAAUACGGAGGGUGCAAGCGUUAAUCGGAAUUACUGGGCGUAAAGCGCACGCAGGCGGUUUGUUAAGUCAGAUGUGAAAUCCCCGCGCUUAACGUGGGAACUGCAUUUGAAACUGGCAAGCUAGAGUCUUGUAGAGGGGGGUAGAAUUCCAGGUGUAGCGGUGAAAUGCGUAGAGAUCUGGAGGAAUACCGGUGGCGAAGGCGGCCCCCUGGACAAAGACUGACGCUCAGGUGCGAAAGCGUGGGGAGCAAACAGG